UUCUAUAAGAAAUCAUUAAUAGUAUAAUCUGCUCAAUGAUAUUAAAUAGCCGCAAACACUUGUGCUAAGGUAGCAUAAUCAUUCGUUUUUUAAUUGAAAACUAGAACAAAAGAUUAAACAUUUUAAUUUUUUUCUCAAAAUUAAAAUUUUAAUUUAUCUUAAAUAUAAAAAGAUAUUUAUAAAAAAGAAAGACGAUAAGACCCUAUUGAACUUAACUAAUGUUAAACUGGGGCAGUUAAUUAAUUAUUAUUUUAAUUUUAAAAUUAAAAUAAAAGACCUAAUAUUAUUAAUUUAAUAAUCAAGUUACCAUAGGGAUAACAGCGUAAUAAUUACCUAAAGCUCUUAUCCAAAUAAUAGAUUGCGACCUCGAUGUUGAAUAAUAACCUAUUAUUACGCAAAAGUAAUAUAAGGAAGUCUGUUCGACUUAUAAAUAAUUACA
This 439-nucleotide ribosomal RNA is filed under the name Intruda signata. RNAcentral describes it as "partial 16S ribosomal RNA". Lineage: Eukaryota; Metazoa; Arthropoda; Arachnida; Araneae; Gnaphosidae. The record is from RNAcentral.